This 166-nucleotide ribosomal RNA is filed under the name uncultured Desulfovibrio sp. RNAcentral describes it as "partial 16S ribosomal RNA". It matches the Rfam family "Bacterial small subunit ribosomal RNA", at positions 1218 to 1382 of the family's 1533-position model. The record is from RNAcentral. Lineage: Bacteria; Pseudomonadati; Thermodesulfobacteriota; Desulfovibrionia; Desulfovibrionales; Desulfovibrionaceae.
ACACGUACUACAAUGGCCGGUACAAGGGCAGCCACUCAGCGAUGAGGCGCUAAUCCCAUAAAAGCCGGUCUCAGUCCGGAUCGCAGUCUGCAACUCGACUGCGUGAAGUUGGAAUCGCUAGUAAUCGUAGAUCAGCAUGCUACGGUGAAUACGUUCCCGGGUCCUU